GGCUUUCCCAUGUCUCCUGAUAGAAUCGCGUCCUUUUCUAACAUCGGUUGGGCCGCCUCACCAGGUUUAGGGUUUUUGUGUCUUCUUGUUCUUUCUCUUCGCCUCCACUCCCAGCAACGCCAUGACUGCCCAAACGCAGGAGGAGCUCCUCGCCGCCCACCUUGAGCAGCAGAAGAUCGACGUGAGCCUCUCUUCUCCAAUUUUUUAUUUUCCUUAUUUCUUGUCAUCUACGUCACUUCCUCCCUUGUUUAUCAUUUGUAUCGACUAUAGUAGCAGAAACAUGACAUGGAUUUGUUGAAUGGGAUGGAAAUACAGGAGUAGCACUUUUUUUGGCCUAGCAUUCGGCUGUUUUACUUUUUUCUCAUUAUGACGAUCUUCGGACAAAGAUUUAAUUCGAUUGAUCGAUUACUGUCUACCGCGAAGCAAAUCGGUUUAGCCGUAGUUUACUGGCUCUAUAAUAUGGAUGAGUAGACGGUAAUUUUCCAAAGUUUUGGAGGGAGUGAACGUAAACGUUUCUUGUGUUCUUGAUUCGCGUCAUUAGCGUAGAUUUUUCUGAAGGCAGAGUAUUUCACCUCCAGAAAAAACUAUUUGCUCCUUUCACUUGAGUUAAGGGUUAAGUCCGUCAACGUGCGUCGUGGGUUUUCGCUUUUCCUUGAAUUCUAAACAUACUUUCCUUCGUUGCUGUCUUUGAAUUGUUGAUCACGGCGUAGCGUGCUAUUAUUUUCUCUCUCUGAGUAUUACGAUUGAAAGUAAAUGAAAUGUCUGUUUCGAAGUUCUUUGCCUAAACUUUGGAGUUAUAUGCUUGACAAGCCCGUGAACUCCCAUUUAUUUUUUAUUCUGUGUUUAAAAUUUUUUAAUUCCUUUCAUGUUUAGUACAUUUUCAAGUUCCUGCUUUUCCUUUCACAGCAUUGUAAAACCCUUCGCACGCCAGUUCUCUCCUUCUCGUUCUCUAAUUAUCUUUCGACCCCUCUGACAUCCUCUUUGAACCAAUGAUAUCUUUUCGCUUUUUAUCCCUUCUCUAAUUAGCCAAUGCUAUUUUAUAGAAAUUGGAUCCUUUUCUUAUGCAUUUGAAUUGUCAUUUGCUAACUUAUAAGGUUCAUAUUGAGGCAGUGCCCGUGUUUUUGGCAUUCUUGUCAUAGAAACUCCCCUCUAACAGCUUCGGAACUAGAGAAUGGCUUAAUGCCUACUGAUUAUACGUACAUUUAUAAAUGCCAAAGGUUUGGCUGAUGUCAUUUGCGCGUCUCUUUGUAUACCUAAGCAGCCUAGGAACAUUUUGUGGCGAUAUUUCAGAGUUCUACCUUGCCGUUUGCCCAGCUACUCGACAACUUUUUGAUAGACAAAUAUAUUUGACACAGUUUUGUUGCUCAUGGCCCCUUUUGGGUUUAUGUCGUGUUAGUGAUUAUAUUGAAUUAUUUUGGUACUGCUAAUUAGUCUGUUUAUGUGAAUUUCUUGCACUCGGAACAUUGAGGAAAAUAUAUUUUUAUUACCCUUGAUAUUUCGAAGAAGAAGCAAAUGACAUGGGGUUUCACUUUUUGACAGGCCCUUAAAAGUUAAAGAUACACCAUAUAUCCCGAAAAUCUACACCCGUUGCUGAAAUCAGUCGGCAGUAUGAAUUUGAAUAUGAAUGUGUAUAUUCUCAUGGGGCCUUACCGAAAAUUUUAAUUUCUUAGAGAAUCGUCACUUAAUUUGGUUGUGCAGAGGGUUUCAUGUUUCUUUCUCAAAACUUAUGAGUGUCUUUUGAUGAUAAUCGAAACGCCUUUGACAGACCCUUUUGUAUCUCAUUUAUAACCAAGAAGAAACAAAAGGCAUUCAAUUGUGAAGCGUUAAAUGAACAUGUCAGACAUGACGCAUACCAAGCAACGAGAAUACCAGUUUGGUUUAGACUUAAGCAAAAAGAUGAUUAAAAAUACCUUAUCUGAGGUCAAUGAUGAAAUAGAUUGGUGAUCUCAGAAAAAUUAACUUUACGUUGCCAUUUUGAAAUUAUUUUUACGUUGAAUUGUUCCAAAUUGUCUGAAUAUUUUAGAGUUCAUACUGAGAUUUUUUGUUAUUCAAAUUGAAAAAUAAAAAUUUGAUCUGUUCCUAUGCCUGUGAUCUCUUGGAUUUCUUAAAUGCAUGUGCAAUUUAUUUCAGAACCUCAAUCACAUUAGCUCAUCUAUCCUGCUUGCUUUUCAAGAGGGUAUUAUGGUGGAAACAAGACUUUAUUUAAUCUCUCUCUCUCUCUCUCACACACACACACACACACACACACACA
Molecule: long non-coding RNA, 2251 nt
Filed under: Spirodela polyrhiza (greater duckweed)
Lineage: Eukaryota; Viridiplantae; Streptophyta; Magnoliopsida; Alismatales; Araceae
Description: long non-coding RNA (SPOL_LNC001870)
Source: RNAcentral